CCCUAGCCCCGCUAUCCGCUGUAUCUUUAUGUUCUUUCUUUAAGAACAUAAAGAUACAGCGGAUAGCGGGAACAAGC
Molecule: small RNA, 77 nt
Filed under: Flavobacterium degerlachei
Lineage: Bacteria; Pseudomonadati; Bacteroidota; Flavobacteriia; Flavobacteriales; Flavobacteriaceae
Description: Flavo-1 RNA
Rfam family: Flavo-1 RNA
Source: RNAcentral